RNAcentral lists this ribosomal RNA (429 nucleotides) under Pseudomonadota bacterium. RNAcentral describes it as "Proteobacteria bacterium partial 16S ribosomal RNA". It matches the Rfam family "Bacterial small subunit ribosomal RNA", at positions 355 to 776 of the family's 1533-position model. The record is from RNAcentral. Lineage: Bacteria; Pseudomonadati; Pseudomonadota.
GGGGGAAGAGGGGACAAUGGGCGAAAGCCUGAUCCAGCCAUGCCGCGGGGGUGAAGAAGGUCUUCGGAUGGUAAAGCACGGUAAGUUGGGAGGAAGGGCAGUAAGCGAAUACCUGGCUGUUUUGACGGGACCGACAGAAUAAGCACCGGCGAACUCUGUGCCAGCAGCCGCGGGAAUACAGAGGGUGCAAGCGUUAAUCGGAAUUACUGGGCGUAAAGCGCGCGUAGGUGGUUCGUUAAGUUGAAUGUGAAAGCCCCGGGCUCAACCUGGGAACUGCAUCCAAAACUGGCGAGCUAGAGUAGGGCAGAGGGUGGUGGAAUUUCCUGUGUAGCGGUGAAAUGCGUAGAUAUAGGAAGGAACACCAGUGGCGAAGGCGACCACCUGGGCUCAUACUGACACUGAGGUGCGAAAGCGUGGGGAGCAAACAGG